CAGCAGCCGCGGUAAUACAGAGGGUGCGAGCGUUAAUCGGAUUUACUGGGCGUAAAGCGUGCGUAGGCGGCUUCUUAAGUCGGAUGUGAAAUCCCUGAGCUUAACUUAGGAAUUGCAUUCGAUACUGGGAAGCUAGAGUAUGGGAGAGGAUGGUAGAAUUCCAGGUGUAGCGGUGAAAUGCGUAGAGAUCUGGAGGAAUACCGAUGGCGAAGGCAGCCAUCUGGCCUAAUACUGACGCUGUGGUACGAAAGCAUGGGGAGCAAACAGGAUUAGAUACCCGAGUAGUCCCUGUCUCUUAUAC
This 301-nucleotide ribosomal RNA is filed under the name uncultured bacterium. Its description in RNAcentral is "partial 16S ribosomal RNA". It matches the Rfam family "Bacterial small subunit ribosomal RNA", at positions 509 to 807 of the family's 1533-position model. The record is from RNAcentral.